Molecule: ribosomal RNA, 490 nt
Filed under: Aeromonas hydrophila
Lineage: Bacteria; Pseudomonadati; Pseudomonadota; Gammaproteobacteria; Aeromonadales; Aeromonadaceae
Description: bacterial SSU rRNA
Rfam family: Bacterial small subunit ribosomal RNA
Source: RNAcentral
UUGAACGCUGGCGGCAGCGCCUAACACAUGCAAGUCGAGCGGCAGCGGGAAAGUAGCUUGCUACUUUUGCCGGCGAGCGGCGGGACGGGUGAGUAAUGCCUGGGAAAUUGCCCAGUCGAGGGGGAUAACAGUUGGAAACGACUGCUAAUACCGCAUACGCCCUACGGGGGAAAGCAGGGGACCUUCGGGCCUUGCGCGAUUGGAUAUGCCCAGGUGGGAUUAGCUAGUUGGUGAGGUAAUGGCUCACCAAGGCGACGAUCCCUAGCUGGUCUGAGAGGAUGAUCAGCCACACUGGAACUGAGACACGGUCCAGACUCCUACGGGAGGCAGCAGUGGGGAAUAUUGCACAAUGGGGGAAACCCUGAUGCAGCCAUGCCGCGUGUGUGAAGAAGGCCUUCGGGUUGUAAAGCACUUUCAGCGAGGAGGAAAGGUUGAUGCCUAAUACGUANCAACUGUGACGUUACUCGCAGAAGAAGCACCGGCUAAACUC